GCCCCUACCUCCUCCCCACAAAAGAUUCUUAAAGUAAUAUAAUAAGGCCAUAAUGGUUUAUUUUCCAGUAGUAAGUGAAAACACCUUAAAUUCAUUAGAGUAUUUGUAGGGAAGGGCUUCACAAGUGGUGCUAGUGAUAAAGAACCCACCUGUCUAUGCAGGAGACAGAAGAGAAGCAGGUUCAAUCCCUGUGUUGGGAAGAUUCUCUGGAGGAGGAAAUGGCAGCCCACUCCAGUAUUUUUGCUUGGAGAAUUCCAUGGACAGAGGAGACUGGCGGCCUACAGUCCACGGGGUCGCAAAGAGUCGGACAUGAGUGAAGCAACUUAGCACAUUUAGGGCAAAGGGAGAUUAGUCUUGGUGGUGGCGGGGCAGGAAGGGUGGCCGGUACACUAAUUGCAUUUCUUGAUUAUAUUCUCCAGGCCCUAAACGCUGGCAGCUCCCUGCAGAAACAUCACAGAGGUCUCAAAAGCGGCUUUGAGGCUUUUCAGAGGCUCCUUGACGAUCCUUUGGAGCCCAGAUGAGAAGACUGAGCCUCAGGGAAAUAGUCAGGGUCUCCUGAGGACACACAGCUGGAGAGUCGCAGGGAAGGCACUCGAACUAGACCCGGGCGUCUAGGAGGCCCAUGCUGGUCCUGCCUCGGCUGAUUCUCCAGGCUGACUCCUUCACAUCCUGACAGUUACCUCUUCAGAGGGGCCUUCCCCAGCCAUUCCUCCUGCAUAAGUCCCUGGCAUUCUUUGUCACUGCUCCAGCCCUUCUCCCUUCAGAGAACUGAUCACAAUCUGCAAUUCUACGUUCCGCUCUUCACAAAAUAAUAUGAAGCCAUCACUUAUUGAAGAAAUAUUAUUCUGAUAUGAUUUCAAGCACUUCUCCUGUAUUAUCUCAUUACCUCUCAUAUCGGUCUCAUGAAGUCAGCACUUAGCCAUCGACGUACUCUAUUUUACUUCUUU
Long non-coding RNA from Bubalus bubalis (water buffalo), 947 nucleotides. RefSeq lists it as uncharacterized. The record is from RefSeq and is a predicted model, not a curated record. Lineage: Eukaryota; Metazoa; Chordata; Mammalia; Artiodactyla; Bovidae. The transcript is spliced from 2 exons.